ACGGGAGGCAGCGGUGGGGAAUAUUGGGCAAUGGGCGCAAGCCUGACCCAGCGACGCCGCGUGAGGGAAGAAGGUCUUCGGAUUGUAAACCUCUUUCAGCAGGGAAGACAGAAGACGGUACCUGCAGAAGAAGUCACGGCUAACUACGUGCCAGCAGCCGCGGUAAUACGUAGGGAGCAAGCGUUAUCCGGAUUUACUGGGUGUAAAGGGCGUGUAGGCGGGACAUCAAGUCAGAUGUGAAAGCACGAGGCUCAACUUCGUGUCUGCAUUUGAAACUGACGUUCUUGAGUGUUGGAGAGGCUAACGGAACUCCUAGUGUAGCGGUGAAAUGCGUAGAUAUUAGGAAGAACACCAGUGGCGAAGGCGGUUAGCUGGACAAUAACUGACGCUGAGGCGCGAAAGCGUGGGUAGCAAACAGGAUUAGAUACCCUGGUA
Molecule: ribosomal RNA, 435 nt
Rfam family: Bacterial small subunit ribosomal RNA